This 403-nucleotide ribosomal RNA is filed under the name uncultured prokaryote. RNAcentral describes it as "bacterial SSU rRNA". It matches the Rfam family "Bacterial small subunit ribosomal RNA", at positions 355 to 776 of the family's 1533-position model. The record is from RNAcentral.
UGGGGGAUAUUGCACAAUGGAGGAAACUCUGAUGCAGCAACGCCGCGUGAGGGAAGAAGGUCUUCGGAUUGUAAACCUUUGUCCUUGGUGACGAUAAUGACGGUACCAAAGGAGGAAGCCACGGCUAACUACGUGCCAGCAGCCGCGGUAAUACGUAGGUGGCGAGCGUUGUCCGGAUUUACUGGGCGUAAAGGAUGCGUAGGCGGAUAUUAAGUGAGAUGUGAAAUACCCGAGCUUAACUUGGGUGCUGCAUUUCAAACUGGAUAUCUAGAGUGCGGGAGAGGAGAAUGGAAUUCCUAGUGUAGCGGUGAAAUGCGUAGAGAUUAGGAAGAACACCAGUGGCGAAGGCGAUUCUCUGGACCGUAACUGACGCUGAGGCAUGAAAGCGUGGGUAGCAAACAGG